This 378-nucleotide long non-coding RNA is filed under the name Mytilus galloprovincialis (Mediterranean mussel). Lineage: Eukaryota; Metazoa; Mollusca; Bivalvia; Mytilida; Mytilidae. The record is from RNAcentral.
UAUCAAAGAAACACAAACUAGAGGCUCUAAAGAGGCUGUGUCGCUCACCUUGAUAUAUGUGAAUUAAACAAAGGAAGCAGACAGUUCAUGACAAAAUUGUGUUUAGGUGAUUGUGAUGUGUUUGUACAUCUUACUUUACUGAACAUUCUUGCUGCUUACAAUUAUCUCUAUCUAUAAUGAACUUGUCCGUGUAGUUUCAGUGGAAAAUGUUAGUAAAAAUUUACAAAUUUUAUGAAAAUUGUUAAAAAUUGAUUAUAUAGGACAAUAACUUCUCAGGGAUCAAUUGACCAUUUUGGUCAUUUUGACUUAUUUUUGAGUCUUAAAUUGCUGUACAUUAUUGCUAUUUACAGUUAAUCUCUAUCUAUAAUAAUAUUCAAG